This 748-nucleotide ribosomal RNA is filed under the name Pseudomonas monteilii. RNAcentral's name for it is "bacterial SSU rRNA". It matches the Rfam family "Bacterial small subunit ribosomal RNA", at positions 41 to 784 of the family's 1533-position model. Lineage: Bacteria; Pseudomonadati; Pseudomonadota; Gammaproteobacteria; Pseudomonadales; Pseudomonadaceae. The record is from RNAcentral.
GGCAUGAGGUACCGUAGCAGUCGAGCGGAUGACGGGAGCUUGCUCCUUGAUUCAGCGGCGGACGGGUGAGUAAUGCCUAGGAAUCUGCCUGGUAGUGGGGGACAACGUUUCGAAAGGAACGCUAAUACCGCAUACGUCCUACGGGAGAAAGCAGGGGACCUUCGGGCCUUGCGCUAUCAGAUGAGCCUAGGUCGGAUUAGCUAGUUGGUGGGGUAAUGGCUCACCAAGGCGACGAUCCGUAACUGGUCUGAGAGGAUGAUCAGUCACACUGGAACUGAGACACGGUCCAGACUCCUACGGGAGGCAGCAGUGGGGAAUAUUGGACAAUGGGCGAAAGCCUGAUCCAGCCAUGCCGCGUGUGUGAAGAAGGUCUUCGGAUUGUAAAGCACUUUAAGUUGGGAGGAAGGGCAGUAAGUUAAUACCUUGCUGUUUUGACGUUACCGACAGAAUAAGCACCGGCUAACUCUGUGCCAGCAGCCGCGGUAAUACAGAGGGUGCAAGCGUUAAUCGGAAUUACUGGGCGUAAAGCGCGCGUAGGUGGUUCGUUAAGUUGGAUGUGAAAGCCCCGGGCUCAACCUGGGAACUGCAUCCAAAACUGGCGAGCUAGAGUACGGUAGAGGGUGGUGGAAUUUCCUGUGUAGCGGUGAAAUGCGUAGAUAUAGGAAGGAACACCCGUGGCGAAAGGGACCACCUGGACUGAUACUGACACUGAGGUGCGAAAGCGUGGGGAGGAAACCAGGAUUAGAUA